GCCGCCCCACCCGGCCCGGGGACGCGCGGGCGCACCGAGACCUCUGCCUUACAAGGCCGACUCUGCUCAGGCCCCGCGGACCGCCGGGUCGCCCGUAUGCAGCGCCACCAUCCCGGCCGCUCUUCCAAUCUCGCCUUUCUCCGGGCACCUGCCGCCCCUCCCCCGCUCCCCAGACAGGCUUUGCGGAGGGGGCUCAUUCCGCCCGGGGCUGCCCGGCCCUCCGCAGGAGUUGGCUCCCCACAAGGUUCCGGGGCCGAGAUGACAGGGCGGUUCUGUGGUGCUGGGUGCUGGGACUUGAGGGGCAUAGGGGCACCUGCCCUGGAGGAGGCCGAGGCGCAGCCCCCCAGGAGGAAGGGGUGCCUCUGGUGACUUUCAGCUGGACUCUUCCAGCUGGACUCUAGUGCAGCUGAGCUCCUCCCCCAGCCCCGGCUCUGUCCCUGCACCAGGUGUCCAGCAGGCCCUGGAAUCCGCAAAGGCAGAAGGGGAAGUUGGGGUGCUGGGUGCUGGGCAGGGGGUGCUGAGGCCUCACAGCCCGGCGGCUUGGCCCCCACCCACCCCACGGUGGUCCCGCGCCCCACACUUCCUCUCCUCUCCUGUGGUUUCUCCUUCCACUCAGUGCUGCCCAGAGAUGGGCUUCUGUCUAGUUCUCCUGAGAAAUUCCACACUCGCAGCUGGGAAGUCGGGGGACCCCCGAAGCUGUGCGGCGGCCACGCUGCGGCUCCUGCUUCCCUCCUGCUCGGGUGCGGGCUCGGCUGCCUUCUCGUCCCGCGGAGCCCGGAGUGCCUCCCCCUCGGGUAGAUCCUACUAACAGCAUCAAAGAAAUAAUGAAAUAAUCUC
RNAcentral lists this long non-coding RNA (837 nucleotides) under Homo sapiens (human). Its description in RNAcentral is "novel transcript". The record is from RNAcentral. Lineage: Eukaryota; Metazoa; Chordata; Mammalia; Primates; Hominidae.